Molecule: ribosomal RNA, 492 nt
Filed under: uncultured bacterium
Lineage: Bacteria
Description: partial 16S ribosomal RNA
Rfam family: Bacterial small subunit ribosomal RNA
Source: RNAcentral
AGUGAACGCUGGCGGUAGGCCUAACACAUGCAAGUCGAACGGAAGCACAGUAAGAGCUUGCUCUUACGGGUGGCGAGUGGCGGACGGGUGAGGCAUACAUCGGAAUCUACUUUUUCGUGGGGGAUAACGUAGGGAAACUUACGCUAAUACCGCAUACGACCUACGGGUGAAAGCAGGGGAUCUUCGGACCUUGCGCGAUUGAAUGAGCCGAUGUCGGAUUAGCUAGUUGGCGGGGUAAAGGCACACCAAGGCGACGAUACGUAGCUGGUCUGAGAGGAUGAUCAGCCACACUGGAACUGAGACACGGUCCAGACUCCUACGGGAGGCAGCAGUGGGGAAUAUUGGACAAUGGGCGCAAGCCUGAUCCAGCCAUACCGCGUGGGUGAAGAAGGCCUUCGGAUUGUAAAGCCCUUUUGUUGGGAAAGAAAAGCAGCAGGUUAAUACCCCGCUGUUCUGACGGUACCUAAAGAAUAAGCACCGGCUAACUUCGUG